This 253-nucleotide ribosomal RNA is filed under the name uncultured bacterium. RNAcentral describes it as "partial 16S ribosomal RNA". It matches the Rfam family "Bacterial small subunit ribosomal RNA", at positions 524 to 776 of the family's 1533-position model. The record is from RNAcentral.
UACGGGGGGGGCAAGCGUUGUUCGGAAUUACUGGGCGUAAAGGGCUCGUAGGCGGCCAACUAAGUCGGACGUGAAAUCCCUCGGCUUAACCGAGGAACUGCGUCCGAUACUGAAAGGCUUGAAUCCGGGAGAGGGAUGUGGAAUUCCAGGUGUAGCGGUGAAAUGCGUAGAUAUCUGGAGGAACACCGGUGGCGAAGGCGGCAUCCUGGACCGGUAUUGACGCUGAGGCGCGAAAGCUAGGGGAGCAAACGGG